UUGGUGUUGGGCUUGGGAAAAUGUGUAAUGAUCAGUUAAAAUUUUUUAUGUAUUUAUAUUUAGAGUUUAAUUAAGUGAAUGUACAAAUAAAUUAUGGUAACUAUAACAUGUCAUGGAACAAUUAACAGGAAUCAGGUACUGUUAUGAAAAAUAAGAUAGUAAUUCCAAAGAUGAGAUUGGCAAGGAAUGACCAUUUCAAUGGACAUGUAGGGGCAAAGUCAGCGGAAGUAGAGAAAAAAGUGGGUUUUUGAGAAGUGAAUGGAUAUAAGGGUACAAACAUAUGUGGUCUAUAGUUAUUCUCCCUAUUAAUAACUCACAUUUAUUUUAAAGGUAAUAGGGGUAAGUGAACUAUUUCUUUACCUUUGAGUUAUUUGUGUAGAACCUACCACACGUACUAUUAAACGCUUGGCCAACUGAGUGGCUGCUUCCAUUCAAAGUCAGUGUGAGUCAUGAUUAUCUUUCUUACUGUCUAAUUCUAUAAGUUCAUAGAGUCAGUAGGUUAGCAUUUGGGAAUUUUCCAUUUACUGACAUUGAUUCAAUUCAUUUCUUGAUGGUAGCUCCACGCAGUUACUCAAGAUAGAAGCUUAAGACAGAUUUUUUUUUUUUUAACUGCUAAUUGGAUUUAAAGUCAUAUUGAAACCAAGCUUAAAACAUGGAGGAAAACUGGUAAUGAUGACUCAGUACUGAAGCUAAGUUAAUGAUUUAGUGAUGAAUUCAGAUCUGUAGAGAAACUGAACAAGUCUCAGUAUUCAUCUACCUUUGGACAACUUCCGUAGGCUGAAGAAUUGCAGAUCAGAACAUUUUUGGUGUGUUUAGGGAGGAAUUUUAUAUUAAGGAGGUCUCUUUUUGUAAUGUUUAUUUAACUACUGUCUAUGUUAAGGCCACUUCCUUUUAUAAUAGAUUUAAUAUUACUUGAUACACAUUGUGCAGUAGGUGGGUGUUUAGCUAGGAGAAUAUUUUUUAAAUGAUUUUCUUUGUUGUUGUUGGUAUUUUCACAGAAUGUCACACUUACUCAAAGGAAGUUGUUUGACUUCCAGCAGUAAAGGCUGUCAGAACUUGUGGGAAUGCUAAGUAAAGCCAGUCAAACUUUAACUGACCUGCUUCUACACUUCAGUGACAAAGAGGAAUUUCUUCUACUUUGUGAAGUGGAAAGGCUUAACUCUCAUACCUGGCUGAAGAGUUAGCUAAUUUGGGGAACAGAUUUUCCUUGCCACUUGAAGCUAUAAAUCUGGUCUUCCUUAUUAAUUAAUUUUAGAAAAUAAUUCUGAUGUAUUUUUAGUGAAUACAUGGCCAACAAACUUUGUCUGACAAAUAAGACCAAAAAACCUAGUUUAAAUCUAUUAACUAGGUAGAAUGUGCUUUUUGCCUCUAAGGAAGAAAACAGAGUCAAACUGAGAACCAUUUCCAAAGUGAUUUUUAGUUGUAUUAUCAGUUUUAAUAUUCUCAUUAUAUUUAUUCCCAGGUAGGCUGAAUACCUGAUUUGAAAAAGUGUAAUGACAAGUAUUUUAAGAUGAAACACAUAUGUAGUUAUUAGAAAAUGUUUUGAAGCAUUGCAAGAGAUCAGCGAGAGUCUAUUUUUAGAUUCUUACAGACACAUGCGAGAACAAACACAUUUUCAGUGUAACUUGACUACGUUUAUCAUUAGAUGUUCUGAUCUUUUCCUUGGUUUAUUUCAUACUGCAGAAUGAACAUAUUCAUUCAUUGAACAGAUGAACUGGUGAAUAUGAAUUAUGAUACUUGCUAUAAAGGAAACAAAGAGUGCUCAAGGUCUGUCAAAUUCAGAGGGGUUGUCAGAGGAGUCACCUCCAUGAGGAGAUGAAACUGUAGCUGCCUAUGAGCAAUGAGCAGGAGCAAGAGCAUUUUAGUCAGAGGGACAUUUUAGCAUUACCUGGAGAAAAGGCAGGAAAGAGUGCGGAGUAUUCAAGGAACGAAAUGCCAUGUAGGCUAGUAAGCACUGAGUCAAAGGGUCAGUGUUUUGAGAUGGAAGUCUAGGUAGAUAAGGGCCAGAUAAGAGAGGAUGUUAAUAUUGUGGUACAGCUUCUCACUAUGCAACCGCUGAAGUGAAUGAAUAAGAAAGCUUCCUAAAAUAAUGAGAGCAAUGUACUUUUCUUUUUCUUUUUGAUGAAUGUGAUCUUACCUUCUGCCAGUCAGCCAGAGACAUCCAUCUGCUUCAUGUAGUAUGGGGAGUGGGGUUAAUGUUAUCAGAGCUGAAAGACAAUGAGAAGGCCAACUUUGAAUACUCAAAUGGAACCUUUGAGUGCUCAGUAAGACAAUAGUCCUGAAAGCCAGACUUUUUUUCAAAAAGUGUUUCCUAACUUCCUAAAACUUUACGUAAUAUACAUGAUCCAGGCUUAUAGAUUGAACAUUGAAUUUAUUAUAAACUAUGGAGAACUCAAAGAGAUACGAAAGAUUUUCUGCUAUAUGAGACAAGGUAAGCAUACCUUUUCUGUCCUGGUAAAGAAUAGAAAAGGGGACUCUGAUAGAAGGUGUUUUGUGCAAAUGGUCAAAGUAUUUUGAUCUUUUACCCCUGAAAUGAAAUCCCAGGGUAGGGAACACAUUUGGUUGAAAGUGAAAUCUUAAAGUACAGGAGUUUUCCAGUGACUUAGUGAGUAGACUACAACUGAAUAUAAAUGGUUGGAUGGUGUGGUCAAUCCCAAGUAUUCCUCAGAGCUUGUGUGGGAUUGAGAGCUCAGGACAUUCUGCUUGAAGUGAGGAAUUCAGAAGUCAGCUGAGAUGGGCCAGUAUAUCUGCCAUAAGCCUGCCAUGCCCAUAGCAAAGGGUUAGGGGAUACCACACAGAAGUCAAAGUGUUAAUAGCCUGGCAGAGAGAUUCACGUGGAGGAUGUGUAGGGGAAGGAAAAAAUUUCCCUCAACCCUUUUUAGGUUCUUCUGACAGGUCUAAGAAUUAAAUUGAAAUGAGACAGAUUAAUAGGUGAAAGUCAAAAUUGAUUACACAUGCACAGUGUCCUAUAAGAAAAACGAGACCCAUGGAGAAGUUAAGCAAUUAUAUAAGAUGGCUUUAUGCCAUCUGAGAGAAGGAGAGCCAGGGUAGUUUAGGACAUCAAAGGGGAAGAAGGCAAUUCACAUGGAGAUGGAGAAACAAGUGUUUGGUAUGCCAGGCAGAAAUAAUGGGACACAGAGGGGGCUUUAGUCUCCAGGCCAAGGAGGUCCCCCUACCACCCCUAGCCCAUAUUCUUCAUAGAUAUCUAUGGUAAUGGUGCUCUUCCUGGAUCAGGCCCUUUAUCUAAAUCCUUUUAGGCAGUUAGGGAGGUAAAAAGUGAACCAUUUUCUAAGUCAUCUAUUUCUUAAAAAUAAUCAGCCUAAAAUAAUCCUCAUGCCAAAGAGACACAUUUUGUGGUCACAAAUUUUGCUUCCUUACAGAUGUAACUGAGAUUUAGAGAGUCUGACAGCACCAGUGAUAGCUGAGAUAGGGCUCACUUAGAACAAGAUGAACAUAGUUCCCAAACAGCCAGCUGAAUAGGCCAGUCAUGGAUUUUGACAGUAGAUGUCUGAAGUAGCCACGUGACCGACAGAUAAGGGACAUUGUUGCAGAUUCCAGAGAACACAGAGCAGGGACCUGCUGAUUUGAGUUUGAGGCUACAUUUUUCCUGCCACUGCACGUCAUAGAAGCCCACCUGUUUAUAAACUCAGAUACCUCUGGAAAGAAAAAUAGUGCAUUGGAGGAAAUAUAAAAAACUGAACAUUUACCAGCUAUGACUAAAUUUUUAGAAAAAUAAUAUACAAGAUGAAAUAGCAUUAAUUAGCGCUUUGUGUUCAUUCAUGCAAUAAAUAACCAUUGAGUGUCUGAGUGCCUCAUAUAUCAUCACAGUGUGUACAACAGACACUAGCCCUUGUCCUUCUGGAGCUUACAUUCUAGUGAGGGUAGCUCCCUGUUGAGGCUAUAGAAGAAAAAGAAAACUGCCUAAUUGAAAAAAUAAAGAUAUGGAGUUCCCAUUGUGGCUUAGCAGUUAAGAACUCAACUAGUAUUCAUGAGGAUGUGGGUUAAAUCCCUCACUUCACUCAGUGGGUUAAGAAUCCAGAGUUGCCUCGAGCUGUGGUGUAGGUCACAGAUGUGGCUGGGAUCCUCCAUCACUGUGGCUGUGGCUUUGGGUGGCAGCUGCAGCUCUUAUUUGACCUGUAGCCUGGGAUUUCCAUAUGCCACAGGAGCAGCCCCUCCCAAAAAAGAUAUGACAGUUUAUUUUCACAUUCAAAUGGUAGUGUGUUAUAUAUCUUUAAUUCUGCAACGUUGGGGGUGAAAAGUAUCCUGGUGGUAUGCAUGACCUUGUGGUUUAAAAGAAAGAAAAGCUAACAAUGAUUACAGAGUUUCUUCUUGCUUGGACACUAAGUUUAAAUAACUUGACUUCUUAUCAUAGCGUCAGCGGUAGAAUCACCAAAAUUUAGAACUGGAAAAGAUUUUAGAGGUCAUCCAGCCUGGCAUCUUAGUUUGCCUGGUAAGGAAACAGAUGUUCAGGGAAUUGAAGUGAAAAUCACUGCUAGAAUUGGGAUUUAAAUAUAUGCUCCUUGAAAUUAGUUCAGGGCUCUUUAUAAUGAAACAGAGGUUCCAUUCAGAUCUUAGUAGAACGUAUUCAGUGGCUAUUUCACCUUGAUAUCAGUAGGCCAUUUCUUGGGCUGGCUCUUAAAAGUAUUAGGAACAUGAUGGGCCAUGCAAUGAUGUUGAAUAGAGGAUUAGGAGAAGAACAGACACUUGUUGGAAGGGUUGGUUGCUUUUCUCUUUCUCCUUAGAAUGUGAUGGCUGUCCCAGAAAGAGCCCACGUGCCACUCAGAGGGAAGAGUGUCUGCCAAGGUGGCAACUUACUCAGGGUUAAAAACAAGGGCUCAGAAUGAGGCAUCUGGGUUUAAGUCCCAGGUCUACCACCUAUCAACUAGUGUCAUAAUCAGCUGUGAAACCUGUAGCAGGAAUUUUUUUUUUUAAAGAAUGGAUAGACAUUCCCGUUGUGGAGAAGUGGAAACAGAUCCAACUAGUAUCCUUGCUCAGUAGGUCAGGGAUCCAGCAUGGCAAUGAACUGUGGUAUAGGUCGCAGACGCCACUCAGAUCCUUCUUUGCUGCGGCUGUGGCGUAGGUCAGCAGCUGUAGCUCUAAGUUGGCCCCUAGGCUGGAAGCUUCUGUGGGUGUGGCCCUAAAAAAUAAAAAA
Molecule: long non-coding RNA, 5152 nt
Filed under: Sus scrofa (pig)
Lineage: Eukaryota; Metazoa; Chordata; Mammalia; Artiodactyla; Suidae
Description: lncRNA (ENSSSCG00025025407.1)
Source: RNAcentral